Molecule: unclassified non-coding RNA, 324 nt
Filed under: rhizosphere metagenome
Description: partial ribosomal RNA internal transcribed spacer region
Source: RNAcentral
GUAGGUGAACCUGCGGAAGGAUCAUUAAUGCUACUUUCCACUUGAGGACUUGCUUGGCUUGGAAAAUCUUUCAAACCGCAUUCCACAAGCGUGAACUUGUAUCUCUUAUCUUAAACGCUUAAGGAACUUUUCAUUAAGUUCCCUAACGUACCAAGUAACUUGAGAAGCCUUUGCUGUUUUUUCGGAGAUAGCAAAGUGUCUUUCUCACUUUUUUUUUAACUACCAUAAUUACCCUAUUAACUUAUAAACUAUUAGACUGAUAUAAAAUAACAUUUAUUUUAUAAAUGUAUGAUACAACUCUUAGCAAUGGAUAUCUAGGCUCUU